GAGGUUAUGAUAUAAUGUGCCCAGUGGGCCACUUUUGGUAAGCAGAACUGGCGCUGUGGGAUGAACCAAACGUAAUGUUACGGUGCCAAAAUUAACAACUCAUACAGAUACCAUGAAAGGCGUUGGUUGCUUAAAACAGCAGGACGGUGGACAUGGAAGUCGUAAUCCGCUAAGGAGUGUGUAACAACUCACCUGCCGAAGCAACUAGCCCUUAAAAUGGAUGGCGCUUAAGUUGUAUACCUAUACAUUACCGUUAAAGUAAAUGAUUUAUAUUCAAUUUCGAUUGAAUUUAAUAAAUUUUGAAACUUUAAUGAGUAGGAGGGUAUAAUGGUGUGCAUAGAAGUGUUUGGCGUGAGCCUGCAUGGAGCCGCCAUUAGCACAGAUCUUGGUGGUAGUAGCAAAUAAUCGAAUGAGACCUUGGAGGACUGAAGUGGAGAAGGGUUUCGUGUGAACAGUGGUUGAUCACGAGUUAGUCGGUCCUAAGUUUAAUGCGAAAGCUGAAUAUUUUCAAAGUUAAAAACAAAAAAAAAUGUGUAUAAAAAUUAUUUAAAAAUACAAACUAAUGAAUUAUAAUAAUAUACUUUGAUUAAUAUAUUUGAACGAAAGUUUCGUGUGAACAGUGGUUGAUCACGAGUUAGUCGGUCCUAAGUUUAAUGCGAAAGCUGAAUAUUUUCAAAGUUAAAAACAAAAAAAAAUGUGUAUAAAAAUUAUUUAAAAAUACAAACUAAUGAAUUAUAAUAAUAUACUUUGAUUAAUAUAUUUGAACGAAAGGGAAUACGGUUCCAAUUCCGUAACCUGUUGAGUAUCCGUUUGUUAUUAAAAAUGGGCCUUGUGCUCAUCCUGGUAACAGGAACGACCAUAAAGAAGCCGUCGAGAGAUAUCGGAAGAGUUUUCUUUUCUGUUUUAUAAUCGUACUACCAUGGAAGUCUUUCGAAGAGAGAUAUGGUAGAUGGAUUAGAAGAGCAUGACAUUUACUGUUGUGUCGAUAUUAUCUCCUCGGACCUUGAAAAUUUAUGGUGGGGUCACGCAAAUUUCUCAACAGGCCGUACCGAUAUCCGCAGCUGGUCUCCAAGGUGAAGAGUCUCUAGUCGAUAGAAUAAUGUAGGUAAGGGAAGUCGGCAAAUUAUUUAAGGAGUUUUUAACAAGAGGUGUCAGAAAAGUUACCACAGGGGUAACUGGCUUGUGGCGGCCAAGCGUUCAUAGCGACGUCGCUUUUUGAUCCUUCGAUGUCGGCUCUCCCUAUCAUUGUGAAGCAAAAUUCACCAAGCGUUGGAUUGUUCACCCAUGCAAGGGAACGUGAGCUGGGUUUAGACCGUCGUGAGACAGGUUAGUUUUACCCUACUAAUGACAAUAUGUUAUUGCGACAGCAUUCCUGCGUAGUACGAGAGGAACCGCAGGUACGGACCAAUGGUACAAUACUUGUUCGAGCGAACAGUGGUAUGAUACUACGUCCGUUGGAUUAUGCCUGAACGCCUCUAAGGUCGUAUCCGCGCUGGACUGCAAUGAUAAAUAUGGGGCAAUUGUGUUGUAUGGCUUCUAAAUUAUUUUUUAAGUUCUAUGAGUAAUUAUGGAACGAUACAAAUAAUUUUAUGUGAUGCCAAUGUUAUAUGUAACAGAAGCUAAUGUAAGAGGAUUAAAUAUCACUUGCAUGUUAUGCUUUUAAGUUACACAUAUUUAAAACAUUAUUUAAUACAAUGGCAAUGCCUAGAAUCAAUUGUAAACGACUUUGGUAACGGGCAAGGGUGUUGUAAG
This 1752-nucleotide ribosomal RNA is filed under the name Taeniaptera sp. JSS52482. RNAcentral describes it as "partial 28S ribosomal RNA". It matches the Rfam family "Eukaryotic large subunit ribosomal RNA", at positions 1103 to 3341 of the family's 3401-position model. Lineage: Eukaryota; Metazoa; Arthropoda; Insecta; Diptera; Micropezidae. The record is from RNAcentral.